Molecule: ribosomal RNA, 484 nt
Filed under: uncultured bacterium
Lineage: Bacteria
Description: partial 16S ribosomal RNA
Rfam family: Bacterial small subunit ribosomal RNA
Source: RNAcentral
AUUGAACGCUGGCGGAAUGCUUUACACAUGCAAGUCGAACGGCAGCACGGGGGUAACCCUGGUGGCGAGUGGCGAACGGGUGAGUAAUACAUCGGAACGUGCCCGGUCGUGGGGGAUAACGUAGCGAAAGUUACGCUAAUACCGCAUACGAUCUGAGGAUGAAAGCGGGGGACCUUCGGGCCUCGCGCGAUCGGAGCGGCCGAUGUCAGAUUAGGUAGUUGGUGGGGUAAAGGCCUACCAAGCCGACGAUCUGUAGCUGGUCUGAGAGGACGACCAGCCACACUGGGACUGAGACACGGCCCAGACUCCUGCGGGAGGCAGCAGUGGGGAAUUUUGGACAAUGGGCGCAAGCCUGAUCCAGCCAUUCCGCGUGCAGGACGAAGGCCUUCGGGUUGUAAACUGCUUUUGUAUGGAACGAAAAGGCUCUGGCUAAUACCUGGGGCUCAUGACGGUACCGUAAGAAUAAGCACCGGCUAACUACGUG